RNAcentral lists this small nuclear RNA (187 nucleotides) under Salvator merianae (Argentine black and white tegu). RNAcentral describes it as "U2 spliceosomal RNA (ENSSMRG00000006141.1)". The stretch from base 1 to 140 matches the Rfam family "U2 spliceosomal RNA". Rfam says of the family: U2 is a small nuclear RNA (snRNA) component of the spliceosome (involved in pre-mRNA splicing). Complementary binding between U2 snRNA (in an area lying towards the 5' end but 3' to hairpin I) and the branchpoint sequence (BPS) of the intron results the bulging out of an unpaired adenosine, on the BPS, which initiates a nucleophilic attack at the intronic 5' splice site, thus starting the first of two transesterification reactions that mediate splicing. Lineage: Eukaryota; Metazoa; Chordata; Lepidosauria; Squamata; Teiidae. The record is from RNAcentral.
GAGGCUUCUUGCUAUUUUGGCUAAGAUCAGGAGUAGUAUCUGUUCUUAACAGUUUAAUAUCUGAUAUGUCCUCUACCUGAGGGCUCUUUAUUAAAUGGAUUUGGUGGCUAAUAAAAAAAAAAAGAGAAAGGAGACCUCACCACUUUAAGAGCUGAUGGACAUCCCCUGCCCUCAAAGGCAUUCAUCA